Small nucleolar RNA from Callithrix jacchus (white-tufted-ear marmoset), 124 nucleotides. Lineage: Eukaryota; Metazoa; Chordata; Mammalia; Primates; Cebidae. The record is from Ensembl.
AUUUAAGACAAAAUCCAGUACCCCUCUCAGGAAAGUAGCAACUUGGAAUAGAAUCUGGCAUGCUUAAGGUCUUUUGGGGAACAGGGAUGCUUAUUUCCUCUGCCUUCCUUGACUGCCUACAUGG